RNAcentral lists this ribosomal RNA (502 nucleotides) under uncultured Glomeromycotina. RNAcentral describes it as "partial small subunit ribosomal RNA". It matches the Rfam family "Eukaryotic small subunit ribosomal RNA", at positions 591 to 1092 of the family's 1831-position model. The record is from RNAcentral. Lineage: Eukaryota; Fungi; Glomeromycota.
CCAAUAGCGUAUAUUAAAGUUGUUGCAGUUAAAAAGCUCGUAGUUGAACUUCGAGAUUCGUCCAUUGGUCAGGCUUAACUGUCUGUACUGAUGUUUCGGAUUUCUACCUUCUGAAGAACCUUCAUGUCAUUAAUUUGGUGUGUUGGGGAAUCAGGACUGUUACUUUGAAAAAAUUAGAGUGUUUAAAGCAGGCUAACGUCUGAAUACAUUAGCAUGGAAUAAUGAAAUAGGACGGUACGGUUCUAUUUUGUUGGUUUCUAGGAUCGCCGUAAUGAUUAAUAGGGAUAGUUGGGGGCAUUAGUAUUCAAUUGUCAGAGGUGAAAUUCUUGGAUUUAUUGAAGACUAACUACUGCGAAAGCAUUUGCCAAGGAUGUUUUCAUUAAUCAAGAACGAAAGUUAAGGGAUCGAAGACGAUCAGAUACCGUCGUAGUCUUAACCAUAAACUAUGCCGACUAGGGAUUGGACGAUGUUAAUUUUUAAAUGACUCGUUCAGCACCUUACG